AGACUGUUCUCCCUUGAUUCAGGCUCUAGAGAAGCAUUCAAAGGUUGGGACUAUAUUUCUGACAUCGUUAUUAAGUGAUUUUACUACAGAUGAGAAGGCUUGGAGGUCUUCCCCUAUCUCAACAUUGUCUGUUCUAAAGCCUAAUGCAGCUUUGUCUGUAUUUGCUGACCAGGAGCAUGGGGAAGUGAUUGACUGUGUGCAGGAGCUGAGCCACUCCGUGAACAAGCUGUUUGGUCUGGCGUCUGCAGCCGUUGACAGAUGCGUCAGAUUCACCAAUGGCCUGGGGACCUGCGGCCUGUUGUCAGCCCUGAAAUCCCUCUUUGCCAAGUAUGUGUCUGAUUUCACCAGCACUCUCCAGUCCAUACGAAAGAAGUGCAAACUGGACCACAUUCCUCCUAACUCCCUCUUCCAGGAAGAUUGGACGGCUUUUCAGAACUCCAUUAGGAUAAUAGCCACCUGUGGGGAGCUUUUGCGGCAUUGUGGGGACUUCGAGCAGCAGCUAGCCAACAGGAUUUUGUCCACAGCUGGGAAGUAUCUAUCUGAUUCCUGCAGCCCCCGGAGCCUGGCUGGUUUUCAGGAGAGCAUCUUGACAGACAAGAAGAACUCUGCCAAGAACCCAUGGCAAGAAUAUAAUUACCUCCAGAAAGAUAACCCUGCUGAAUAUGCCAGUUUAAUGGAAAUACUUUAUACCCUUAAGGAAAAAGGGUCAAGCAACCACAACCUGCUGGCUGCACCUCGAGCAGCGCUGACUCGGCUUAACCAGCAGGCCCACCAGCUGGCUUUCGAUUCCGUGUUCCUGCGCAUCAAACAACAGCUGUUGCUUAUUUCCAAGAUGGACAGCUGGAAUACGGCUGGCAUCGGAGAAACCCUCACAGAUGAACUGCCUGCCUUUAGUCUCACCCCUCUCGAGUACAUCAGCAAC
This 922-nucleotide small RNA is filed under the name Pan troglodytes (chimpanzee). RNAcentral's name for it is "retained intron". Lineage: Eukaryota; Metazoa; Chordata; Mammalia; Primates; Hominidae. The record is from RNAcentral.